UUAUUUAAUCUAAUUGGGCUUGCAAAAUAUUGGGCCUGAAGUUCUGAUGGGCCUAUUAAUAUUUCUAAUGAAUUUAGAUAGCAUAAGAUAGUUGUUUGGCUUAUUUAUUAAUUUACUGAUGAUUUUAAUAUAGAGUUACGCCUUAAUUAUUAAUUAAGCUGAGUUUAUAUUAUUUUGAGCCUAGUAAAUAUGUAUAAAGGAUUAUUAGCUAUUAGCUAAUAAUUAGUUUGAUUUAUUAAAUGGCCUAGACAUGUAGAAUUAUUUUAAUUAGUGUGAGCGGAGUUAUGAUUAACGCCCGAGUUACAAUUAUCGUAGUUUAAGUUGUGGUUUAGAUAAUAUGUUAGUAUGCUUUUAAUAAGUUAAGUUCAGAAAAGUAGAUUACUUAGAUUAGAGGAAGCAACCCUAAAGUUUCAAGAGAUAUAAGUUUCAACUAGGAAUUUUUUUCUAUUUAUUUCUUGUCUAUCUAUCCAAUCUUACCUUGGGAACCUCAUUAUAAUGAAGGUUCGAGUGGCUUUAUAAAGUGAACAAGCAAUGAUUUCUACUUCAUUAAGCGUAUCAGGUGGGCUUUCUAAACUCAGAAUUUGAAGUGCGCACUAUUUAAUGAUGUUUAUAUGAAUGAAGUUAUAUUAAAGUUAUUGACUUGUCAAAUUAUUUUAUGAGCUUGUAUGUUACCAUCUACGAGAGAUAGACGAUAUCGCCCUAUGCUGAAGCGAGAUGUCAGUAAGGGUUUGUGCACAUAUUUGUGACCGUGAGUCAUCGAGCGGGUUUGAGAAGGAGGCCUACUUCUCAACACAAGGUUACAUGAUGCGUAGUUAUGGUACAUACAUGUUAAUUGUCUGCGAACGUAUAUGAUGUUAUGAUGAUGAUAUAUAUAUAGAAGUUUUACAGUUUUGGCGUGCACAGGUUAUUUAAAUAAAACUCCUGUGUGAUGUUUGAGAUGACAAAUUUAAUAUAUAGCUCUAAGAGCAAUCUUUCAAGUUAUUUUGGCAUGGACCACUGAGUGCUUUUUGGUACUCAGUCAUGCAUAUGUUUUCUAAAUAUGCAGGUUAAGCUGUGAUGUAGAUGGAGGCGAGCAGAACAAAGCUUUUGAUGUAAUGUAUUAAAUUUGGCUCAGGAUUCCAUGUCUUCAUACAUGUAAUCCACUUAAGUUACUCCGCUGCAACGCUUCGUGCGUUUUACUUUAUUGAAGUGUUGCAAAGAUUUCAAACUAAUAUCUUAUAGAAUUAUGUCACUUGAUACUUAGACAACUUGUCGUUAUGUUAUUGUGAGUUGUCUGCUUUUGAGUUUAGAAAAGAUUGUUUAUGAUUACCAAAUAUUUUGGUAAAUUAUUGUUUAAGCAGGUUAGUAAUUUUUAUUGAGAUCUAUUUUCUUUUUCUUUUUCUUACUUUGUUUCAGUCACACUUUUGCCCGACUUAACUAUCUUUAGUUUAGGUCGGGCUGUGACACCUUGAGACACUACAUUCGCGCAAUUUUUCUGGAGCAGACUUGGGGCACGCAUACUUUGGAGUUAUUCAAGUUUUAUUUCUUUAUCAUUCUUCUAUCGCAAUUAUUUAUUUAUUUGUUUAUUUUAUUUGAUUAUGAGUUCUAGCUAAUUUCGUUUAUUCCGGCAACGAUUAGGGAAGCACUAGCAAAAUUAUUCUGUGAGAUGUAAUUGUUCUUAUACUUUAGCCAAUUGAACCGGCCAUACGUAAUCGUGGUUUAGGUUUGAUUAGUGGUAAAUUGACACAUCAUGGUCAAGGGAAAAACAGUCUUAAUUCAAUAAGCAUGUGUCACAGUUUAUUGGUUUUGAAUCGGGUUUCUCUAGUAAUUAUGCCGUCGACUCAUUAAAUCUAUAGAGCGUCUCUUACGCUUGUCAGUCAAUUAGGGUAGUAAUUAGUGAAACGUCUUUCUAAUUAACGAAUAAUUAAGGAGAAAUAAGAUCACGUCAGAAGCGUCUUCGGUGGUUAUAACUGGUUUGUUUGCAUGAUUUAAGGUUAUACUUGCAUCAACGAUCGGAAUAAUUAAGCUAGGGUUGACUUAAUUGAUUGCUGGAAUUCUUUUAUUAAUUGUUGGAUUUUUAUUCAUCUUUUGUCAAUUGGAAAAAUUGGUUUAGUUUGGAUUGUUUAUUUAUUUAUUUUUACGUUUAGUAUUUUCUAUAUAUUCUUCUCAAAUUUCGUGGGUUACAUGCAGGCUUUAAUUUGGAAAAUUCUCGCCAAUCCCUUGAGAGACGAACUUGCUUACUUCUGUCUGCGCAGUGUGGGCAUACCGGCUGACUGCCGGAUAUUUUUGGUGUAAAACGACGCACCAUUAGCCCUCUUCUAAACCCAGCGAUCAUCUUAUCUUCGGUGUCAACUAACAGUGGUCAGAUAAAGGUGUCAGUCGUCGAUGGCGGUGAAUUGAAAAAGACGAUGGCUUGGCACAGGUGAUAACAACAAUACUGUCGAAUUUUCAGAGGACGACGAUGGCAUUCAGGUAAGAAAAGAGAGAGAGAGAGAGAGAGAGAGAGAGAAUGAAAGAGAGGAGAGAAGAAAUAGAGAAAUUAGAAAUAGGUUGUAAAUAAGAAUUUAAAUUUUGGUUUACGGGCAUGUUGUAUUAAAUCCUCAAAAUCUAUAAUAAUUUAUUAAAACUAAAUUGGUGGACAACUAUAGUUUCUACCAUCAUCUAUAUUGGUUAGGUAAAAUUUCACUCUUUAAAAAGUGUGUAAAAUGUGUUUGCACCCCAUUUUCUGUUUCUUGAAUUUUCUCUCUUCGAAAUGCAAAAAACAGCACACAAUUUUCUCUGUCUUCUAAACAAAAAAGAGCAUAGAAUAAUAGUAUGUACUCGAACCAUAAAAGUUAGUACAAGAGUGGAGAUAUGUUAUUACAUAAUUGAAGGAGUACUUUAUAUUUAACAAUCUACGACAAAGAUAAAGAACUAAUUUUAUACAUCGAAGAAAAUUAUUUAAGGCAAUGCAGUGUAGUGGAUUCUUACUAGACCGGAGUAGUAACCAUCUUUUAUAUUGAUCAAGCUGUGGUGGUUCCCCUUCUCCACAAUGCAUCCAUUCCUGAACACAGCAAUCGUGUCUGCUCCCCUGAUUGUAGAUAGCCUAUGUGCUACCACAAUUGUGCUUCUGUUUACCAUUACUUUGUCAAGCGCUUCUUGAACUAUCUUCUCAGACUCAACAUCCAAUGCGCUUGUUGCUUCGUCUAGUAGCAGUAUCAUCGGCUUCUUCAUUACAGCUCUUGCAAUUGCCACACGCUGCUUUUGUCCGCCCGAUAGUUGUACCCCUCUCUCUC
This is a long non-coding RNA of Salvia miltiorrhiza (redroot sage), 3254 nucleotides long. RefSeq lists it as uncharacterized. Lineage: Eukaryota; Viridiplantae; Streptophyta; Magnoliopsida; Lamiales; Lamiaceae. The transcript has 2 exons. The record is from RefSeq and is a predicted model, not a curated record.